This 29-nucleotide small RNA is filed under the name Bombyx mori (domestic silkworm). Its description in RNAcentral is "ovarian small RNA-7446". The record is from RNAcentral. Lineage: Eukaryota; Metazoa; Arthropoda; Insecta; Lepidoptera; Bombycidae.
UCGAAAAGAGCGGUACGACAAGAAGCAGU